Long non-coding RNA from Neltuma alba, 604 nucleotides. RefSeq lists it as uncharacterized. The record is from RefSeq and is a predicted model, not a curated record. Lineage: Eukaryota; Viridiplantae; Streptophyta; Magnoliopsida; Fabales; Fabaceae. The transcript is spliced from 3 exons.
AUAUGAUCUUGAAAGCCUUCAAUUGCAUAGCAGCAACAUCACUAGACUUUGGAAUGGAGCACCGGAAUUGAAUAAGCUGAGAACCAUUGAUCUAAGCAAUUCUGGUGAUCUGAGAGAAACUCCAGAUUUCAGUGGAACUCCAAACCUUGAAAAGUUAUUUUUCGAUCAUUGCGAAAACCUUAUUCGGGUUCAUGAAUCUCUUGGACAACUGAAGAAACUAGUUGAGUUGAGUUUAAGAUAUUGUACAAAUCUUGAAACUCUUCCAACUUUCUUGGAUAUGGAUAAUCUGGAGGUUUUUAUUCUUGGUGAAUGUUCAAAGCUUGAGAGGCUACCUGAGUUCGGUAAAAAUAUGAGAAGGCUAUACUUCUUGGAUCUGAGGGACACUGGGAUCACCGGGAUUCCUUUAUCCAUAAUUAAUUUAGAAAAUCUGAAAUAUUUAGACUUGGGAGGUUGCAGCAAGCUUCAGUCAAUACCGGAGCUUCCUCCAAACUCAAUUAUUCGUGCAAGGAAGGAUCAUUUCAUGACAUCCACUGCAUCAGAUCUACAGCAUCUCAUUGAAUCGCGUGGCUCUAAGGAACCCAUUCACCUUAUUAUUGACUCGAAA